This is a non-coding RNA of Mus caroli (Ryukyu mouse), 3595 nucleotides long. Lineage: Eukaryota; Metazoa; Chordata; Mammalia; Rodentia; Muridae. The record is from RefSeq and is a predicted model, not a curated record.
AGUCAGCUGAGGGAGACGAGCAUUGGAGGAGAGGAUUUAAAAGAGCCUGUUUCUUAUUUCCAAUCACCUGGCAAGGCCGUCUAAGAAAACACACUGAGCAAAUGUGCUUUUCCAGCCACACACAUUGUCUAGAUAGAAAAACAACUUCAAACAUCCCGUAGUGUUUUGGAAAAUAUUUUCUGGAUCUGUCAACAUCGCCCCUCAAAGAGAAGUGGUUGUCUGGAUUUUUGGACUCUUCUCAUGCGCAUAUUUCUCAAAAAUGGAAAUAACAAGAUCCUUCAAUAAUUACUUGGAUGUACACCACGGUUUUAGGAAUGAUUUCUUGGAAGCUUUGCUACACAGCAUUCAGUGGGUUUGAUUUCAUGGGGGAAGGGGUUGCUGAUGUGCGAGAGGGAGAAGGGAGGAAGAAGAGAACCCCAGAGAAGGACAAAGCAGCCCCACAAACAGAACAGAAGAAGGACGGAAACGCUUGGGUCUAAGAAUCACACCGUGCCACGCUUGCAAAGGUUAACUUAACUGUGACUCGAUGUAUCCAGAUUUCUACAACAGCAAACACGAAGGCUCUGCGGAUCUCAUCUUCCGGUGGACCCAGUGCAGCGCAUUCUGCGUGAUCAGAGUGAGAGAUACCCACCUCCAGCGAUAGCGAGCCUGGUGCCUGUGAGGUCAGCUCUGCAGGUGAGGGACUCCUUCCUUAUUCCCUUGCUUGGAAAGGUUCCUACAGAGUCUGCAGACUUCUGGGUCAGGACUGUCAAGAAGAGUGAGGAGGGAUUCUUGGAACACUCAACCCUAAAAGCAAUGACUCUAUCCAAUCCUUCCCUCGGGGCUCAGGGAUGCCCCAGAAGAGGAGGCUGAAGAAAACAAGGCCCUCUAAAUCAACAUGAUAAAAGCUCUCAGAGACUGAGGCAGCAUACACAGGGCCUGCACAGUUCUGCGAUUGUAUUGUGGCUUCCAGGAAGGCUGCUACUGAACAAACGGGCCAUUAAGACACCUUUCAUGGCUCUGCCAGCUGACCAAUCUGAGAGACCCACUGGCAGAUGCCCCGGGAGGAAGAAAAUGUGGAAGAAGUGGUCAGCAGGUAGACAUUUGGUAUUUUCCCCAGUAGAGCUGGCCUUUCCUUUGUAGGAGCAAACAAGCCACUGGUUAGGAUCUUAGCGACUGACUGUGGUGCAGGCAUCCUGUGAAUAUCCUCCCGCUAAGGGACAUGUACACAAAUCCCUGUGUAUACCUCGAAUCACAUUAUUUCAAGGGACACCAUUAAAUAGUGAAACUUCUUGUCAGGAGGUAAUCAACUGACUCACGGGUGAGCAGCAGCUCUUGAGAAUAAAGCUCCCCACCACACUUCCCUGCUGCUGCCUCCUCUUCCUGUCAGGCUCAGAGCUGGAGAGCGCUGACUAGCAUCCUGGAUUCUCUAGUGUCCCCACGGAAAGCACAACAGCCCCCCUCGGCAUCAGGGGUGGAAGAAAAAGAGACCACCAAGGGCAAGAGGGAGAACAAGAGUCCGGGCCUUAGAAGGAAGCUACCUGGAAAAGGAGCAUGUGAUGUUCUGCUGGAGCAGAUGCUUGAGAGGACACGUGAUGCUUGGAAAGGGUGUAAGUAUAACCCCACAGACAGCGGAAGACAGGGUGGCAUUGGUUUACCUUGCCACUCUUUGCUGGUUUUCAUUGGGCUUCGCUGAUGACCUUGCCUUCUUCACUGAGCAUCACCUGUCAUGACUUCUUAGAGAGAAACGAAUCAAAGAACUUCUUGUGAUAUUCAGGUAGCUUCUUGCUGUUUCUGCCCAGUUGGCAGAACAGAACGUUGAGGUUUCUUCUGGAUCUGGUUGCUGCUGCUGCUGCUGAUUUGUGUGGACUGACUGCUGAUAUCCUGACAACGAAGAUUGGAAUCAACAAAGAUUGGAACUAUUUCUAAACACACCCACAUCCCCCUUUGCCCUAUUAACCUUUCCUUUCUACUACCUCUGGUGGGUGAUGGGUAAGAAGGGAGGUUAAAGCAUUUAAGAACCCUUAUUAAAGUAGGUUUUGAAAACUCUAAGCCUACAGCUCAGUGACUCUGUUGCAGAUCUGUGUAACUCAUGACUUUCUAACCAAAGCUGCACAAUGAUUGUUCCCAGGAGAUAUCAGAGACAAGAGGUUGGAGAUUAACAAAGACACUGAUGGUCUUCUGCAUACAAAUAUGACUCUGAGAGAGACACAGGGAACAAUUCCUGUUCCUGCAAGUUUAGAUGGGAUUCUGGGACUUCAGGGUUGUGCUUGCAAGUCAUGUUAGUAAGCAUGUUAGACCUGACUGUGGCUCGUCCAUGCCAGUGGCUCACUGUACUAACCCUAGAGGUCAAGAGGCUGCAUGUGUGAGCCUGCCUGUGUCUGAUCUCUUUCUCUUACACAGAAAGCUUCUUAAACAUGAGAAGACAGUGGUGCACCAAGGAGAGCAGACUGAGAUGAACCUGAGUGGGAAAUGGGGUUUUCCAAAAGAGUCACAGAGCUGUACACCAGGGGAACAAGGAGUGGUAGAGAGUGCCAGAGAGUCAAGGUUAACAAAUUUAGAACAUAAAUAUGUUUUCUUAAGAUAUAAUUUCCUCAAUGAUACUUCUUACGUUAAAGAAAUAUCAUCCUUCCAUCAAGGAUGUGUGGCCAGGUCCCAAGUCAAUGUCUUAUUCCAUUUUUUCUGAUCCAAGGAUACAGAAGAGAAAGCAGUGCAUCCAGCCAGGCACACUGCAGCAGGUAGUGACCAUCAGCACCAUGAGGCAAGGUCCACGUCCAAUGAAGAAGGAGCAGGGGAUAUUGCAGCUGAUACAGGACAUCCAGAUAGACAUCCACCUGUACUCCAAUGAAGAGAGAGCCACACAGAGAAAGAACUGAAGAUUCCUCUUUAUCAAGAACCUGUCACAAUCACCCUUCUACACUGAGAGGUGGAAUCACAUCACUUCCCGUGGCCAUUCCUUCUGACAAAAUAAGUAGGAAAAUACCAGAAAUGAAGGUUUAGGGUGGUCAUGUUUUCUCAUAGUUCAAACGGCUAAGAUCUUGACUGAAAAGCAAAGGCGAGAAUGACCUCUACAGCAGGGUAAUGAAAACUGACCUCCAGCAAGGGAGAAACCAUUUCAAGAUGUUGGUGACAUCAUCUAAAGUCAACCAGGUCUUAAAUCCUAGUUGAGGUCACUAGGGCCUGGGUAUCCAAAACAACAUCAGUGCUGAGAAUUCCUUCACCAAAUUAACGAAUCAAGUCAGAGAGCAGUGAUGUUGUCUGAGGUGACAGAGCACUUGCCUAGCUUGCUGGAAGCUCUGGGGUGGAUCCCCCAACACUACAGUAAAUGGGGCAUAACGGUGUGAGCCUCUCAUCCCAGCACUAGAGAGGCAGAGGCAGGAAGAUGGAAAAUUCAAGGUUACCUAGGACUCUUAGUAAGUUUGAGGCCAGCCUGGGAUACAUGAAACCACAUCUUCAAAAGUCAAACAACAAAUCUGUUCCCUCCCUCUGCCAUUUGCCUUCAUACUUCUGCUGUUUAAACCUGAGUUUAUGACCCUCAGAAUGGCUUCAAAUGGCGGUCAUUCACCAGCUCCCACCCCAUACUAUUAUUUAAUAAAGCUGCAGGAAUGAUAAACUG